CUCCUACGGGAGGCAGCAGUGGGGAAUAUUGCACAAUGGGCGCAAGCCUGAUGCAGCAACGCCGUGUGAGUGAAGAAGGUUUCGGAUCGUAAAACUCUGUCCUAAGGGAAGAAACAAAUGACGGUACCUUAGGAGGAAGCCCCGGCUAACUACGUGCCAGCAGCCGCGGUAAUACGUAGGGGGCAAGCGUUAUCCGGAAUCACUGGGCGUAAAGGGUGCGUAGGCGGCUUAGCAAGCCAGGGGUGAAAGGCAUUGGCUCAACCAAUGUAAGCCUUUGGAACUGUUAAGCUUGAGUGCAGGAGAGGUAAGUGGAAUUCCUAGUGUAGAGGUGAAAUUCGUAGAUAUUAGGAGGAACACCAGUGGCGAAGGCGACUUACUGGACUGUAACUGACGCUGAUGCACGAAAGCGUGGGUAGCGAACAGGAUUAGAUACCCUGGUAG
This 441-nucleotide ribosomal RNA is filed under the name uncultured bacterium. RNAcentral describes it as "bacterial SSU rRNA". It matches the Rfam family "Bacterial small subunit ribosomal RNA", at positions 336 to 793 of the family's 1533-position model. The record is from RNAcentral.